AAUAUAGUGAGAGCCUCAAAUGGGAUCCCUGGCAGUCCAGUCAAGUCUGGAGAUGUCCAGGAUCCAUGACAUGGGCUUCAGCAUUUUUCCCCACC
Molecule: long non-coding RNA, 95 nt
Organism: Alligator sinensis (Chinese alligator)
Lineage: Eukaryota; Metazoa; Chordata; Crocodylia; Alligatoridae
Exons: 3
Source: RefSeq, a predicted model, not a curated record